This 93-nucleotide transfer RNA is filed under the name Candidatus Sumerlaeota bacterium. RNAcentral's name for it is "tRNA-Ser". It matches the Rfam family "tRNA". Rfam says of the family: Transfer RNA (tRNA) molecules are approximately 80 nucleotides in length. Their secondary structure includes four short double-helical elements and three loops (D, anti-codon, and T loops). Further hydrogen bonds mediate the characteristic L-shaped molecular structure. tRNAs have two regions of fundamental functional importance: the anti-codon, which is responsible for specific mRNA codon recognition, and the 3' end, to which the tRNAs corresponding amino acid is attached (by aminoacyl-tRNA synthetases). tRNAs cope with the degeneracy of the genetic code in two manners: having more than one tRNA (with a specific anti-codon) for a particular amino acid; and 'wobble' base-pairing, i.e. permitting non-standard base-pairing at the 3rd anti-codon position. The record is from RNAcentral. Lineage: Bacteria; Candidatus Sumerlaeota.
GGAGAGGUGUCCGAGGGGUUGAAGGAGCGCGCCUCGAAAGCGCGUGCGCCUCUAAACCGGGCGCCGCGGGUUCAAAUCCCGCCCUCUCCGCCA